This 85-nucleotide transfer RNA is filed under the name Felis catus (domestic cat). It matches the Rfam family "tRNA". From Rfam's summary of the family: Transfer RNA (tRNA) molecules are approximately 80 nucleotides in length. The record is from Rfam by way of RNAcentral. RNAcentral also lists the same sequence under 2 other names. Lineage: Eukaryota; Metazoa; Chordata; Mammalia; Carnivora; Felidae.
GCCUGAGUGGCUCAGUCGGUUAAGCAUCUGAUUUCAGCUCAGGUCGUGAUCUCAUGGUUUGUGAGUUCAAGCCCCGUGUCAGGCU